CCAUAAUUAUUUGGCAUGUGUAAUACAUGUAGGUAGCCGAGUGGUAGGCGCGGUGCAAUUAAAGGGGAACUCCACGAAAAAAUGAAACUUUGAUAGCCUGUAGAGUUUCGGGCGCUGAGUCGAAUGGUCUUGGUCCGAAGUCUCUACGACGAAGCGUUCUUGAGAUAUUUCACUUUGAAAUUGCAAAAACGGGGGCCGCGCCCUGACGUCAUGCGGCCAUUUGGUUACAUCAUCACGGGCUGCCUACGUCAUUGUGGCAAAGUCGUUUCUCUUCGCCAGUCUACAAGCACUAAUUAUUUUAGUUGGUAUUUCAAGGGAAGAUGGGCGAUUCCGAACAAUCCUCUGUCCCCAGCAAUGAAGGCAGCGAUGCUGAGGCCAGUGAGGACGACCAACAGCCCACCGCCGCGUAUGGUUGGGGCAGGGAGCCCAGAUACUCUGCUGAGGAGCUGCCAUCGCGUGUAACAAAUGUGGAGGAAGAAGAUGCGUCAGCAGCUGCGUCCGACAGAAGACGAGUAGCUUGGCCACCAGAAUCUCGAUUCGUUUGGGACUCCGACUGGUGCGAGCGUGGACAAAAGUGUAUAGCCAUGCCCAGCCCGCGGGAAUGAUUUUGCUGGUAGGAUGCUGCCGUCGCUGUCGACAAGACGGCCCAAGGUUUCUUGCGUAGCGGACCUCGCAGAUUACGAGAUCGCAUCCUUGCAUUAGGCUGUGCUCAUCACUGCUCUUCGAGGUUAUCUCGACAUGCAGAAGCCGCCAAUGCCAGUGACAGAAGAGUCUGACAUUAGAUCUCUACGCUAUGCGGCACACAGGCAGUACACACUAUGUACACGGCAAAUUGGGCAAGCACGUUCGUUGUCGUCUUCCAGCCUGCGUUGUGAAUACCAUCAGGCAAAGAUAUCCAAAUCCUGCACCACCUCAGCCUUCUCAGGAGGCUUCCACCUGGAAUUUGGCAGGGAAACACGCUUCUCCAAGGCAGGAACAUGGAGGUUGCCAUUUGCAACCGCUACCACCUCACACAUGAGCUUGUCAACAUACUCAUAGCUCUUUCUGUCGUAUAAUUUUCUAUUUGGCCACAGUCUUCUUUAUGCUUUGAGAACUGGACUUUAUACCUUCC
Long non-coding RNA from Sycon ciliatum, 1111 nucleotides. RefSeq lists it as uncharacterized. The transcript has 2 exons. The record is from RefSeq and is a predicted model, not a curated record. NCBI's taxonomy places the organism in Eukaryota, Metazoa, Porifera, Calcarea, Leucosolenida, Sycettidae.